GGCCUGGAGGGAGGGACAAUCCGGAGAUGGACGGGGGGUAUCUGGAGUUGGCCUGGGCACGGCGGUAUGGAGGACACGGGUACCUGGAGGCUGCUCGGGGAACGCGAGGGAGGUUAGCUGGAGGCGGCCCAGGGGCGAGGAGAGGACCGGGGGGAUCUGGAGGCGGCGCAGGCACCGAGGGAAUGGACGAGAGGUUGGAAACCAUCUGAAGUGGAAUAAUGCAGAGUGAUCAGUUGCUGAACCCAGAGAAUAGACAAUCUCAUAAAGAUGCUUCUAAAUAUAAAAUAGAGAAGAGGCUGUUAUAGAUGAUGCAUAGAAUAGCAGUUGAUUCGUACUGAUUCAAAAUAAUGGAAAUUAGUAAAAAUAAAUUUAAGUUGAUGGAAGCCUAUUGACUUCAAUAAGAUAUACCAACAGGUAACUUAAUUGGAAAUCAAUGAAAAGUAAGUACUGCAUUGACUUAAAUAGAGAAAUGUUAAACGGCAUUUUGGUGUAAUAUAGUAGCAAUCCUCAUUAGCAAAAUUGAAAUAUAUUAGAAUGCCCAUUAAUGAAUGCCAUCCAUUAUAUAAAAUAGUAAAUAUCCUGGA
Molecule: long non-coding RNA, 584 nt
Organism: Chelonoidis abingdonii (Abingdon island giant tortoise)
Lineage: Eukaryota; Metazoa; Chordata; Testudines; Testudinidae
Source: RefSeq, a predicted model, not a curated record